Molecule: non-coding RNA, 45 nt
Filed under: Trichobilharzia regenti
Lineage: Eukaryota; Metazoa; Platyhelminthes; Trematoda; Strigeidida; Schistosomatidae
Source: RNAcentral
GGCUAGCUGACGAGUCUCAAACAGAACGAAACGCGCAUCUUGGAU